Molecule: ribosomal RNA, 522 nt
Filed under: uncultured archaeon
Lineage: Archaea
Description: bacterial SSU rRNA
Rfam family: Archaeal small subunit ribosomal RNA
Source: RNAcentral
ACGGGGUGCAGCAGGCGCGAAACCUUCACAAUGUGCGAAAGCGCGAUGAGGGGAUCCCAAGUGCUUGCUCGUAAGAGUAAGCUGUUUUUAUGUCUAAAAAGCAUAGAGAGUAAGGGCUGGGUAAGACGGGUGCCAGCCGCCGCGGUAAUACCUGCAGCUCAAGUAGUGACCGCUAUUAUUGGGCCUAAAACGUUCGUAGCCGGUUUGAUAAAUGCCUGGGUAAAUUGUGUAGCUUAACUAUACGAAUACCGGGUAGACUGCUAAACUUGGGACCGGGAGAGGCUAGAGGUACUCCUGGGGUAGAGGUGAAAUUCUGUAAUCCUAGGGGGACCACCAGUGGCGAAGGCGUCUAGCUAGAACGGGUCUGACGGUGAGGGACGAAGCCCUGGGGCGCAAACCGGAUUAGAUACCCGGGUAGUCCAGGGUGUAAACGCUGCUUGCUUGAUGUUAGUUGGGCUCCGAGCCCAACUAGUGUCGGAGAGAAGUUGUUAAGCAAGCUGCCUGGGAAGUACGUCGCAAGAC